UGAGGAAUAUUGGUCAAUGGGCGAGAGCCUGAACCAGCCAAGUAGCGUGCAGGAUGACGGCCCUAUGGGUUGUAAACUGCUUUUAUGCGGGGAUAAAGUGUGCGACGUGUCGUGCAUUGCAGGUACCGCAUGAAUAAGGACCGGCUAAUUCCGUGCCAGCAGCCGCGGUAAUACGGAAGGUCCGGGCGUUAUCCGGAUUUAUUGGGUUUAAAGGGAGCGUAGGCCGCCAGAUAAGCGUGUUGUGAAAUGUACCGGCUCAACCGGUGAAUUGCAGCGCGAACGGUUUGGCUUGAGUGCACGGUAAGCAGGCGGAAUUCAUGGUGUAGCGGUGAAAUGCUUAGAUAUCAUGAGGAACACCGAUUGCGAAGGCAGCUUGCUGAAGUGCGACUGACGCUGAUGCUCGAAGGUGCGGGUAACAAACAGG
Molecule: ribosomal RNA, 424 nt
Filed under: Fusobacteriota bacterium
Lineage: Bacteria; Fusobacteriati; Fusobacteriota
Description: Fusobacteria bacterium partial 16S ribosomal RNA
Rfam family: Bacterial small subunit ribosomal RNA
Source: RNAcentral